Molecule: ribosomal RNA, 512 nt
Filed under: uncultured bacterium
Lineage: Bacteria
Description: partial 16S ribosomal RNA
Rfam family: Bacterial small subunit ribosomal RNA
Source: RNAcentral
GACGAACGCUGGCGGCGUGCCUAAUACAUGCAAGUCGAGCGGAACUGGGGGAGCUUGCUCCUUCCAGUUUAGCGGCGGACGGGUGAGUAACACGUGGGCAACCUGCCCUGCAGAUCGGGAUAACUCCGGGAAACCGGUGCUAAUACCGAAUAGUUUGGCGCCUCUCCUGAGGCGCUACGGAAAGACGGUUUCGGCUGUCACUGCAGGAUGGGCCCGCGGCGCAUUAGCUAGUUGGUGGGGUAACGGCCCACCACGGCGACGAUGCGUAGCCGGCCUGGGAGGGGGACCGGCCACACUGGGACUGAGACACGGCCCAGACUCCUACGGGAGGCAGCAGUAGGGAAUCUUCCGCGAUGGACGCAAGUCUGACGGAGCAACGCCGCGUGAGUGACGAAGGUUUUCGGAUCGUAAAACUCUGUUGUGAGGGAAGAACACGUACCAACUAACUAUUGGUACCUUGACGGUACCUCGCCAGAAAGCCACGGCUAACUACGUGCCAGCCGCCGCGGUAA